CUCAUUGGCAGCCGUGGUGUUUCCAUUUCUAAUACUGUUAGGGUGGCUAGAUUAGACAGAUUCAGGCAUGGGCCAACUUCGGCCCUCCAGGUGUUUUGGGCUUCAACUUCCACAUACCUUCCAAUGGAUGACAUACAGCCUUCUUGCGAUUGCACUGGUGUGGCUUUGUUGCUUGUUUUUAUAGUUUAUACUAGCUGUACCCGGCCACACGUUGCUGUGGCGAAGUAUGGUGGUAUGGGAAAUAAAGUAUUGAGGAAUUGGUGGUAGUUAAGGUAAAGGGUCCCCUGGGCUGAGUGGGUUGCUUAGGAGACCAAGUGAGCGGAGCUUAGCCUUCUAACUGGCAGCAAUUGGAUAAAAACAAUUAUUCCUCUCCCUCUAAUUAGGACUUUAUUUUUCUUUUCUUUUUGUUGUAUCAACCUAGAGGCAUGGAUGAGGGGUUGUGCUGUCAAUUUUCGAGGUUGUGAGGUGUUUACUUUUGUUGUUUUGUCCGCUGCCGUGAUGCCAUCACUCUUUUAUAUAUAUAGAUUUGUACUGUGUUUGUAAUUUUAAUUGUUUUUAUGUCUCCCUUUCUUUCUUCUCCUCCCAUAAUCCGUUACUGCCAUUUAUGCAGACUAAGUUCAAUGUGCCAAACUAGUUUACACUCAGUUAACUCAGCAGGAGAGAGAAGUGAGGAAGGGUGCAAUUUUACACUUCCCAGUAGACUUGGGCAAAAGCAAACUGCUGCAGCCUUUCUCCGCUUGUGUGAUCUUUCUCAAGAACUGCUUUUGCCGUCUUGAUUAUGUGAGGGAAUAUGAAAUAAAGACUCCAUAUUGCAAUGAGUUCACUGGAAAGGGUUGCUAUGGCGACAGCUGCUUGGCUGAGCUAGCCAGCAUUCUGAUUGGUUGCUGCCUCUGGCUUGGCAGAAGCAGACCAACGGUUUUUCUAACUGACAUUACAAUUUCAUAUCUUGCUCUUCUGGAGAGUGGAGAAAAGAAGCUGACAGGAAUUUUUGAUCAGGAAUGUAAUGGCUGUGGUGCUUUCCAAAGUUUGACUAUUUAAAGAAGAGAUGAGGCAUAUUUAAAAGGACUGUUGCAUAUUGUUGCCCUAUAUAUGUGUUUGAACUCUUGAACCUGAAUAAAGGGCAUAGGAACACCACUCUCAAUCUAAUCCACCCUCUCAUUUUUGGCAGUUGUAAGUGCUGCAAACACUUGUCUGUAACUCAUUGAUCAGUAAGCCCCACCAUAAUGUUAUUGUUUUAUUCAAGCCUACAUGACAGCCUUCUUACACAGCAGAGUUUAUUUUGAUUUAAAGAUGGUGAUAAAGCUUCCGUUUACAUUUAUAUUUUACAUAACCCCGCAACAUAUAACAUUCUGAUGUUGCUUGGCCAAAUGUGUCCCAGUUUUCAUCUGAAAUGUUAAAAGUAUGGGCAGCAGCAGCAAUAUAUGGAUAUAGACAAGCACUUGUGGGAAUGGCAGCAACUCCUAUGCCAGUUAGAGUUGACAUGUUACUCAAUUACCUGGGUUUUAUCUGGAUUCUAGGACUCUAGGAUUCAUCUUUCUCCCAUAUCAAUUGACACAAUCAGCUAGCCUGGAAACAGUCUUUUUACUCUCACAUACCUUACCUGCUUAUUGCUUUUUCUCUUACAAGGUUGUUUCUAUUUUAAUCUCUCUCUGCACCAUGGUGUUUCCAUUUCUCAUUCCACCGGUUCUUUCAUGACUGAUAGUAGAGUCUCACUUAUCCAACAUUCACUUAUCCAACGUUCUGGAUUAUCCAAUGCAGUCUGCCUUUUAGUAGUCAAUGUUUUUGUAGUCAAUAUUUUCAAUACAAUGUGAUAUUUUGGUGCUAAAUUCGUAAAUACAGUAAUUACUACAUAGCAUUACUGCGUAUUGAACUACUUUUUCUGUCAAAUUUGUUGUAUAACAUGGAUUUCGAACUCUGGCUCCUUCUCUUCUCCAUCUUGGCUUAAUUUCAGCUCUGCAUUUGAACAUUUACUUGCUACUUUAAGCUGCUGUGUUUGAAAGAAUAAAAUAAAUAUCUGCAUGGAAUUUCAUAUGUAGACUCAGCAAAAUAAUUACUGGUGUGUUUUUCUUUACCAGAUUGGAUUACUUACUUUUUAAACAUUUGUAUUCUUUUUCUCGUAUUUUGAAACGGCUUGUGCAGAGAUGGAGCAUAUUAGUAUUAGUCUUAAGUUAUGCAUAGGAUAAUUUGUUUCCAACAUGAUAUCAUUCUUACCAGAUGCACAGGUAUAUCGCCUGUUACAGAAUAUGAAUGAGAAGGGUUCUCCAUUAUGAAAGUAAGGAGUGACUCCUCUGGACCAUGUUAUCAGGGCACUUGGUGGGUGCCUGAAUUCUUGUUUUUGUUUUUGCACAUACAUAGUACAACAUGAAAUAAGGUUUGUAUGCACAGCUAGGAUGCAAAGAGAUAACUUGGUCUGUUGCAACUUAAAAAAUGAAGGAAGAAUCUUUUACGUGUUUUUAGCUUUGUAUAAUAUUUUUAUUAAGUAUUUAAUUGAUGUAACUGUGUUGUUUGAUUUUAUUGAAUUCUGUUUUGGGCAUUGAAUUUUGCCAUCUCCCGUAAGCCGCCUUGAGUCCCUUCGGGUGAGAAAGGCGGGGUAAAAAUGUUGUAAAUAAAUAAAUAAGAAUCUAGCAGCCCUAUUAAAACUGAUUAAUCUCAUGGAUUUCAACUUGCUUGCUCGAAUAUACUGAUGAAAUUAAUACGAAACAUCAAGUAUAUUGACAUUUACAUACUGCUUAUUGAUGAUGCAUUAGAAUGGUUUUAGCUGGGGCUGUACAUGACAAGUAACAGUACUUCUUUGUCUUGGAUCUGAACAGAUAUAAGAGGCAUGUGUAACAGUCAGUGGGAUUCCAAUAUAGCACGGUGCUUAGAAAUACUCUGUACAGUAGUGCGAGCUGACAGUUUCUAAACUACCGUAUUUGCAAAUGACAUUUGAUACACAGGUCUUUUGGCAAGCUAAGUGCAUAUGUCAGUAUUAUACAUAUGAUUACAGAGGAGUAGAUUUAGCAUCUAUCUAUAUAUAUUUAUAUUUUACACACCAUAUUUGUUUGAUACAGUGCAGGAAAUCCAUAUUGUCCAUCUCAUUAUCUGAAACACGUGCAAGCUGUUACAUAAAUUCUUCCUCCUGUGACUUUAUGACUGUCAAUCCCCCAGUCUCAGGUUUUAUAUCUGAAAUUUCAGAGAAUGGGAAGCUAUCGUCUGGAUAUCCCUGAAUUGAAUGGAAGAAAAAGUGGAGGCAGGACAAGUGCAGAAAGUCCAUAAUGAACUUGAUGUUGUCAAAGAUGAAUAUUUCCAUCACAAGAUUCAAUAAAAAUUGUAUCCAAUUGUUCUGGAAGUUCUGCAAAGCCUUUAGAAGUAUCCAUGACAACAGCCUGAAGAUGGCCAAAAUUACCUGAUUUCUCUGGUUCAAGCCUUUGAAGAAUCACUGACACCGAAGAUUCCCAGUUUACAAUUCAUCUUGUCAUGUACUUCAAUACCCUAUUGAAUGUAUAUAGUUUAAAAAAUCUUUCUGUCAUAGUGGUGUUCUGACCUGAUACUACCUCCUUUUUUUGUAAAUUUGCCGUUUAUCUUUUGUUUUGCUGUUCGUUGAGAGUAGCCUAGCUUUUGUUUCCUAUGUCAAAAUGCCAUCACGUUUCAAGUGAUUGUAUCUAUAGUGUGAUUUUUGUUUACAUAGUGUAAAUUUGAUCAUUAUUGAAUUUUUGCAAAAUGAUUUCUAGUUAUUUUCUUCCUAUAAACCCAGCUUUUCAGGGAAGGCACAGUAGAAAUAAAGUACCAUAACACAGUACAAUAUUUUGGAGAUAAGUAAUCAAGUUUGACAGAUUAUAUCUAUACAGAACAUACAGGGUUUAUGUAUGCUCAUUUCAAUAUAACGCAUACAGUCUUUACAAAUCAUCUAUUCAGAUUACAGAAGGUACUCUCACCUUCCCUUUACACAUGUUGAAUAUCUCCCAAUAGUGACCUUCCCAAAUUACCACAAGUUACACCACCAUGAUCUUGUUGCUGGUGAAGAGAGCUGCUCUUUUAUGUCCUGUUCUCAAGUAUAACCCAGCUCCCAAUAGCCUGACAAAGAGGGGCAAGAUAAGAUUGAAGUCUCCCUCUUCACAAACAACUCUCAUAACAAUAUUAUAUUAGUAUACAUAUUAGGGAACAUGAGGUAUUCUUGGUUAGAGUAGAGAGGGCUGUCCUGGAUGAGGAACAUAAAAGGGAACUCAAGUACCAAACACUGGAGGAAGACAUUUGGAGGAUUUGGACACAAAGGGUGAAGGAUCAUUCUGGAGUUUGAGGUACAGAAUCAAUUAAAAUUCCCCCCAUUAUCAGAGACAAUGAAGAACAGAUGGUGCCACCAUGAAUGAUUUGGGUUCUUGAACUGUAUGAUCAUAAUACAAUUGGCCUUAGGGAAUCCCAAGCCACACCUUUCCUUAGCGUCAUGCAGGGCUUUAAAUUUUACUGUGGAUUUCUUUGCCUGACAGACAAAUCUGGAAAUCUAUUUUUAUGCAAGUGCAUAAAUGUAUUCCAUUCUUAUAAUAGGGGGCAACUGAAAGAGAAAUAAAGAACUCGGCAUUUGCUUUUAUUACUGCAAUUCUACCCGAAAGAGGUAAAAUUACAUUUCCCCUUUUUUCUAAGUCUCUUUCAAUUUCUUUCCAGAGUUUUUCAUAGUUGUUUUGAAAUCAUAAGCAGAUGUUCUUUAUAAUUAUAACUCCCAAAUAUUUAAACCCCUUUUUCCAUUUCAGAAUUUGAAAGUGCAUGGAAUUCAUUACCCCUGUCUGAGAUGAUACUUUAGUCGACAAAUUUGUUUUGCCACAAUUUACUUUAAACCUGGAGAAUGUUCCAAAUGUUGUUGUUUUUUCAGGAGAGCCCGUGGGUUUUGUGUUAUUAUCACAAGAUCAUCUGCAUAAACUCCCAGCUUGUACAGUUCUUUUUUUUUUAACCCUCCCCUAUACAACAUUUUCUAAUAUCUCUCAGCAGGGUUUCCAGCAUCAAAAUAAAAAGUGAAAGUGAGACAGGUCAUUCUUAUUUGCUGUCCUUUUAGGUUUUAAUCUAUCACGUUGCACUGACACUUACUAAAAUCAGGGCCCUUUGAACUGAGUCCAUUCUCUAUAUCCCUAUUUACUUACUCUUUGAGACAGUUUUCCUGUCUCAACCUAUUGGAAAGCCACUUCCCAUGUUUGCUUUCAGAUUCACAAAUCUUUUGUUUAAAGUAUAAUCAUUUUGCAUUCUGUUUUUAGACUGUAAACAAUAAAUACUGUUGUGAAGUAAAAUAA
Long non-coding RNA from Anolis carolinensis (green anole), 5255 nucleotides. RefSeq lists it as uncharacterized. Lineage: Eukaryota; Metazoa; Chordata; Lepidosauria; Squamata; Anolidae. The record is from RefSeq and is a predicted model, not a curated record. The transcript is spliced from 4 exons.